This 209-nucleotide unclassified non-coding RNA is filed under the name Glomeraceae sp. RNAcentral's name for it is "partial contains 5.8S ribosomal RNA and internal transcribed spacer 2". The stretch from base 1 to 71 matches the Rfam family "5.8S ribosomal RNA", at positions 84 to 154 of the family's 154-position model. The record is from RNAcentral. Lineage: Eukaryota; Fungi; Glomeromycota; Glomeromycetes; Glomerales; Glomeraceae.
GUGAAUCAUCGAAUCUUUGAGCGCAAAUUGCACUCUCUGGUAUUCCGGAAAGUAUGCCUGUUUGAGGGUCAGUAAAAUAAACAUCGGUGUUGUUGUUGCCUUUCGUGUUGACGCGUCGGAUUUGAGUCGUCUUACCUUCGGUUUAGCUUCUUAAAAUUUUUGCAUGAUUUUCGAGCGUAUUUUAAUCGUUUACGUAUGUUUGAGAUAUC